ACAAACUACUAGGGGUGCCUAAAAAGGCUGAGAAGAAAAUAAUGCAACUUUCUAACUCUUAAUAACCUGAUCUGGUUCAUACCAGCGUAGGGAAGUAGUAAAUCAACACU
This 110-nucleotide non-coding RNA is filed under the name Pontibacillus litoralis. RNAcentral's name for it is "TPP sequence". It matches the Rfam family "TPP riboswitch aptamer (THI element)". From Rfam's summary of the family: Vitamin B(1) in its active form thiamin pyrophosphate (TPP) is an essential coenzyme that is synthesised by coupling of pyrimidine and thiazole moieties in bacteria. The previously detected thiamin-regulatory element, thi box was extended, resulting in a new, highly conserved RNA secondary structure, the THI element, which is widely distributed in eubacteria and also occurs in some archaea. Analysis of operon structures identified a large number of new candidate thiamin-regulated genes, mostly transporters, in various prokaryotic organisms. Lineage: Bacteria; Bacillati; Bacillota; Bacilli; Caryophanales; Bacillaceae. The record is from RNAcentral. RNAcentral also lists the same sequence under 1 other name.